GAGUUUGAUCCUGGCUCAGAUUGAACGCUGGCGGCAGGCCUAACACAUGCAAGUCGGGCGGUAGAGAGAAGCUUGCUUCUCUUGAGAGCGGCGGACGGGUGAGUAAUGCCUAGGAAUCUGCCUGGUAGUGGGGGAUAACGCUCGGAAACGGACGCUAAUACCGCAUACGUCCUACGGGAGAAAGCAGGGGACCUUCGGGCCUUGCGCUAUCAGAUGAGCCUAGGUCGGAUUAGCUAGUUGGUGAGGUAAUGGCUCACCAAGGCGACGAUCCGUAACUGGUCUGAGAGGAUGAUCAGUCACACUGGAACUGAGACACGGUCCAGACUCCUACGGGAGGCAGCAGUGGGGAAUAUUGGACAAUGGGCGAAAGCCUGAUCCAGCCAUGCCGCGUGUGUGAAGAAGGUCUUCGGAUUGUAAAGCAACUUUAAGUUGGGAGGAAGGGCAGUAAAUUAAUACUUUGCUGUUUUGACGUUACCGACAGAAUAAGCACCGGCUAACUCUGUG
RNAcentral lists this ribosomal RNA (504 nucleotides) under uncultured bacterium. Its description in RNAcentral is "bacterial SSU rRNA". It matches the Rfam family "Bacterial small subunit ribosomal RNA", at positions 9 to 507 of the family's 1533-position model. The record is from RNAcentral.